AACCAGCACCUCAAGUGGUCAGGAUGAUUAUUGGGCCUAAAGCAUCCGUAGCCGGCUCUGUAAGUUUUCGGUUAAAUCUGUACGCUCAACGUACAGGCUGCCGGGAAUACUGCAGAGCUAGGGAGUGGGAGAGGUAGACGGUACUCGGUAGGAAGGGGUAAAAUCCUUUGAUCUAUUGAUGACCACCUGUGGCGAAGGCAGUUCACUGGACCGUGAUCGACGCUGAGGAGCGAAAGCUAGGGGAGCAAACAGG
RNAcentral lists this ribosomal RNA (253 nucleotides) under uncultured archaeon. RNAcentral describes it as "partial 16S ribosomal RNA". It matches the Rfam family "Archaeal small subunit ribosomal RNA", at positions 474 to 727 of the family's 1478-position model. The record is from RNAcentral.